UACGUAGGGGGCAAGCGUUGUCCGGAUUUAUUGGGCGUAAAGAGCGUGUAGGCGGCUGGGUAGGUCCGCUGUGAAAACUCGAGGCUUAACCUCGAGACGUCGGUGGAAACCCUCCAGCUAGAGUCCGGAAGAGGAGAGUGGAAUUCCUGGUGUAGCGGUGAAAUGCGCAGAUAUCAGGAAGAACACCCGUGGCGAAAGCGGCUCUCUGGGACGGUACUGACGCUGAGACGCGAAAGCGUGGGGAGCGAACAGG
This 253-nucleotide ribosomal RNA is filed under the name uncultured bacterium. Its description in RNAcentral is "partial 16S ribosomal RNA". It matches the Rfam family "Bacterial small subunit ribosomal RNA", at positions 524 to 776 of the family's 1533-position model. The record is from RNAcentral.